ACAUCACCUCUACUUCCAGUCUGGUUUUCUCGCCUAUAUUUCCUGCCUGGCCAAUCAGCGUUUUAUUAAAAUACAUGAUUGACAGAAUACAGAUAAGUCUCCUGCACCAGUACACUUAGGAAACAAUGUAAAAACUUAGUGCCAAAAAAUAAUGAAGAGUAAUGUUUGUCCAGUGCUAAAAAUGUACCAGCCAAUGUCCCUGUCCCCUCUCAUGUUCACUUAUUUGUGUCUCAACAGCAGAAGGUAGUUAUAAUCUAUUUUCCAAGGGAGAAAAUGAAUGCGCAGCAAAGCUUUCUUACCCAAGAUUAUGAUGUGCAAAUUAAAUAGAAUAGGUAGUCUGGCUCCCGGGUCAGCCAAGCUUCUCUCUCGAGUUGGUUUAUUUCUGUCGGAACGGGGGAGGGGGGCGGUCAGUUUGCCAGUGCACAGAGGCCAAAGCAAGAUGUCAGAUGGCCUGCCUUGUUCCCUGGAGACAGGGUCUCUCCCUGAACCUGGAGCUGUGUUGGUGACUAGCAAGCCCCAGAGAUCCCACACAACAGGGAUUUUUAUGUUGGUGCUAGGGACCAGAACUCAUGCUUAUGUAACACUGAGCCCAUCUCCCCAGCCUAGGAGGUUUACUUUAUAAUUUGAACAAUCUAAAAACAAAAGGCUAUUUUUGCAGUUAUAAAAGGUGCUCUUGAGGAGGGUCGGGGUAACUGGAGAAAUGACUCCGCGAUUAAAAGCACUUGCUGCUCCGGCGGAAGAUCUGAAUUUGGUUCUCGGCACCCAUUUGGCAGCUUAUACCCAUCCAUCAUAAGUCCAGUUCCAGGAGAGCCAAUCUCCUCUUCUGUCUGCCAUGGCACCAGGCAUGCAUGUGGUGCACAUCCACACAUGCAUGGAAACAAUUACAUAUAUUAAAUAAAUAAAAUAGAUGUUCCUCUAUUAAUUAACUAAUAAUUAAUUUUGUGGUGCUAGUGAUCAGAGCCUCGUGCAUGCUAAAGGAGUGAUCUGUCACUCUCCAUCCAACCCUAAAGAUGUUCUUCUAAAAGUUUCAACGAUGGCUCAACAGGUAAAAAGGUGCUUGUCAGCAAACCUGCUGCCGUGAGUUCGAUUCCUGGGGCUCUGUGAGUGGAAAGAGAGUACUAACUCCCAAAGUUGUCUUCUGACCUACACAUGGACACAAAAUACAUUUUUUUUUAAUCCUUAAAAAGUUCAGGGCAGCCAAAAAUAAAUAAGUAAAUAAAUUGGACGACUGCGCUGCAAAGGCGUUUCUGUGCUUUCCUGCUAUAGGAGGCUGAUAACGGAGGCUCAGAGACACUGCGGUGCAGGGACUAAGAUGAGGGCUGAGUAAAGGUUUUAUCCUGGUGGCUGUUGGGUUCUAGGAUAAUGAUUUACCAGGACAAUGACUUGUACAUUCCUCCUUUAGUGUCAGACUGCUUCUGCCAAAUAAAGUCACGCUGGGGACACAUUGCAGCUCGCUGGCGUCCUAAGCAUUCGCUAGACUUAAACCAAUGUGAUCUAUGGUGGUGCGGGCAUUACUGAAGUUGUCCUCGGGUUUUCUGCCCUCUGAUGGAAUUUGGUCCCACUUUUUCAGCUUGUGUUGAGCAAUAGGCAACACUCAGAAAAGGUCAGGAGUCCUCUUCUGACCAAGUGCUUUCUUGUUUUUUUUAAAUGUUGGAACAAGAUGUAAAAUUUUAGGUUGAUUUGGUAUAACCCUGGAAUAAAAUCAGAAGUGUGGAAUUAAAUUGCCCAGGAAAGGACAAUUACAUUCUCCUAAACCCCCAGAUGUCACUGGACAGAUAGGGGGUUGUACAUCACCCGACUGCUGUCUACGAAUCAAGAAGAUGUGCCUUUAAAUGAAGCAUGGGCCACCAAGGCGGUGGGCGGACCCUAUGAAGGGCUCUUACCUUGAAAACAGCAUGAUUGGCUUCCAUGUCAUCUUUGAAUAUGAGUGACAUGCCUAGUUUCAGCAUGCCCUCAUAGAGACCAGCAGACCAGGGCUAUUCUUUCAGGAAGUCUCACGCUGGAAGUAGUGUAUUGGAUGUCUGCACCUGGACUGGAUUGCCCACUGACUCAUAAGAAUAUUGAAAGCUGGUAAACAGCUGAAGACAGGCGGGCUUAAGGAAGCAGCUCCAACCCUCUUAAGGCUCUGAGCAGCUUGAGAGAAGAUCAUUGUAGAGAUGAGUGAGAAGAUUGCAGUCAUUUCUACAUUUGUUUCUAGACAUUCGUUAUCUUCGUUAACCCAUCCACUUGGUGCAUGACAUUUGAGUUAUUUUCCAUGAUUGUAAUAGCUCGUAAUCUACUUCUCAUCAGUUUUAUCUCUGGGUACAGAAAUCACAUAAAUAAGAGGUGAAA
Myodes glareolus (Bank vole) is the source of this 2331-nucleotide non-coding RNA. Lineage: Eukaryota; Metazoa; Chordata; Mammalia; Rodentia; Cricetidae. The record is from RefSeq and is a predicted model, not a curated record.